AUACGGAGGGUGCAAGCGUUAUCCGGAAUCAUUGGGUUUAAAGGGUCCGUAGGCGGACUAAUAAGUCAGGGGUGAAAUCCCACAGCUUAACUGUGGAACUGCCUUCGAUACUGUUAGUCUUGAGUUAUAUGGAAGUAGAUAGAAUGUGUAGUGUAGCGGUGAAAUGCUUAGAGAUUACACAGAAUACCGAUUGCGAAGGCAGUCUACUACAUAUAUCCUGACGCUAAUGGACGAAAGCGUGGGGAGCGAACAGGAUUAGAAACCCUAGUAGUCC
Molecule: ribosomal RNA, 274 nt
Filed under: uncultured bacterium
Lineage: Bacteria
Description: partial 16S ribosomal RNA
Rfam family: Bacterial small subunit ribosomal RNA
Source: RNAcentral